This 74-nucleotide transfer RNA is filed under the name Pseudomonadota bacterium. Its description in RNAcentral is "tRNA-Gln". It matches the Rfam family "tRNA". From Rfam's summary of the family: Transfer RNA (tRNA) molecules are approximately 80 nucleotides in length. Their secondary structure includes four short double-helical elements and three loops (D, anti-codon, and T loops). Further hydrogen bonds mediate the characteristic L-shaped molecular structure. tRNAs have two regions of fundamental functional importance: the anti-codon, which is responsible for specific mRNA codon recognition, and the 3' end, to which the tRNAs corresponding amino acid is attached (by aminoacyl-tRNA synthetases). tRNAs cope with the degeneracy of the genetic code in two manners: having more than one tRNA (with a specific anti-codon) for a particular amino acid; and 'wobble' base-pairing, i.e. permitting non-standard base-pairing at the 3rd anti-codon position. RNAcentral also lists the same sequence under 2 other names. Lineage: Bacteria; Pseudomonadati; Pseudomonadota. The record is from RNAcentral.
UGGGAGAUCGUCUAAUGGUAGGACAACAGUCUCUGACACUGUUUAUCUAGGUUCGAGUCCUAGUCUCCCAACCA